ACGCGAUGAACCUUACCAGGUCUUGACAUCCUCUGACACUCCUAGAGAUAGGACGUUCCCCUUCGGGGGACAGAGUGACAGGUGGUGCAUGGUUGUCGUCAGCUCGUGUCGUGAGAUGUUGGGUUAAGUCCCGCAACGAGCGCAACCCUUGAUCUUAGUUGCCAGCAUUUAGUUGGGCACUCUAAGGUGACUGCCGGUGACAAACCGGAGGAAGGUGGGGAUGACGUCAAAUCAUCAUGCCCCUUAUGACCUGGGCUACACACGUGCUACAAUGGAUGGUACAAAGGGCAGCAAAGCGGUGACGCCUAGCAAAUCCCAUAAAACCAUUCUCAGUUCGGAUUGUAGGCUGCAACUCGCCUACAUGAAGCUGGAAUCGCUAGUAAUCGCGGAUCAGCAUGCCGCGGUGAAUACGUUCCCGGGCCUUGCACACACCGCCCGU
This 439-nucleotide ribosomal RNA is filed under the name uncultured bacterium. RNAcentral's name for it is "bacterial SSU rRNA". It matches the Rfam family "Bacterial small subunit ribosomal RNA", at positions 959 to 1397 of the family's 1533-position model. The record is from RNAcentral.